CUAAUACAUGCAAGUCGAGCGCGGGAAGCAAGCAGAUCCCUUCGGGGUGACGCUUGUGGAACGAGCGGCGGACGGGUGAGUAACACGUGGGCAACCUGCCUGUAAGACUGGGAUAACUCCGGGAAACCGGGGCUAAUACCGGAUAGAGUUUUCUCUCGCAUGAGAGGAAACGGAAAGGCGGCUUCGGCUGUCACUUACAGAUGGGCCCGCGGCGCAUUAGCUAGUUGGUGGGGUAACGGCUCACCAAGGCGACGAUGCGUAGCCGACCUGAGAGGGUGAUCGGCCACACUGGGACUGAGACACGGCCCAGACUCCUACGGGAGGCAGCAGUAGGGAAUCUUCCGCAAUGGACGAGAGUCUGACGGAGCAACGCCGCGUGAACGAAGAAGGUUUUCGGAUCGUAAAGUUCUGUUGUUAGGGAAGAACAAGUACCGUUUGAAUAAGGCGGUACCUUGACGGUACCUAUCGAGAAAGCCCCGGCUAACUACGUGCCAGCAGCCGCGGUAAUACGUAGGGGGCAAGCGUUGUCCGGAUUUAUUGGGCGUAAAGCGCGCGUAGGCGGUUUCUUAAGUCUGAUGUGAAAUCUUGCGGCUCAACCGCAAGCGGUCAUUGGAAACUGGGGAACUUGAGUGCAGAAGAGGAGAGUGGAAUUCCACGUGUAGCGGUGAAAUGCGUAGAGAUGUGGAGGAACACCAGUGGCGAAGGCGA
RNAcentral lists this ribosomal RNA (708 nucleotides) under uncultured bacterium. RNAcentral's name for it is "bacterial SSU rRNA". It matches the Rfam family "Bacterial small subunit ribosomal RNA", at positions 48 to 724 of the family's 1533-position model. The record is from RNAcentral.